GUAGGUGAACCUGCGGAAGGAUCAUUAAUGAAACUUCAAAAGUCGGCUCUUCGUUCUGUGCUGGCGGAGAGAUCCGCAUGUGCACGUCGACGGGUCGCAAAUCCACACACACCUGUGCACCCAUGACUCUGAGCGCCGCUUUGUGUGGCCCUUUAUCGGGCCUGGCGCUCGAGUACCAUUUACACACUCUGAAUGUAACGGAAUGCCUAUUGUGCAUAAAUGUACAACUAAAACAACUUUCAACAACGGUUCUCUUGGCUCUC
RNAcentral lists this unclassified non-coding RNA (263 nucleotides) under rhizosphere metagenome. RNAcentral's name for it is "partial ribosomal RNA internal transcribed spacer region". The record is from RNAcentral.